Molecule: ribosomal RNA, 460 nt
Filed under: uncultured bacterium
Lineage: Bacteria
Description: partial 16S ribosomal RNA
Rfam family: Bacterial small subunit ribosomal RNA
Source: RNAcentral
CCUACGGGGGGCAGCAGUGAGGAAUAUUGGUCAAUGGACGAGAGUCUGAACCAGCCAAGUAGCGUGAAGGAUGACUGCCCUAUGGGUUGUAAACUUCUUUUAUAUGGGAAUAAAAUGUUCCACGUGUGGGAUUUUGUAUGUACCAUAUGAAUAAGGAUCGGCUAACUCCGUGCCAGCAGCCGCGGUAAUACGGAGGAUCCGAGCGUUAUCCGGAUUUAUUGGGUUUAAAGGGAGCGUAGGUGGAUUGUUAAGUCAGUUGUGAAAGUUUGCGGCUCAACCGUAAAAUUGCAGUUGAAACUGGCAGUCUUGAGUACAGUAGAGGUGGGCGGAAUUCGUGGUGUAGCGGUGAAAUGCUUAGAUAUCACGAAGAACUCCGAUUGCGAAGGCAGUUCACUGGACUGCAACUGACACUGAGGCUCGAAAGUGUGGAUAUCAAACAGGAUUAGAUACCCGGGUAGUC